This 420-nucleotide ribosomal RNA is filed under the name uncultured cyanobacterium. Its description in RNAcentral is "bacterial SSU rRNA". It matches the Rfam family "Bacterial small subunit ribosomal RNA", at positions 376 to 811 of the family's 1533-position model. The record is from RNAcentral. Lineage: Bacteria; Bacillati; Cyanobacteriota.
CGAAAGCCUGACGGAGCAAUACCGCGUGAGGGAGGAAUGCCUUUGGGUUGUAAACCUCUUUUCUCAGGGAAGAAGAUCUGACGGUACCUGAGGAAUAAGUAUCGGCUAACUCCGUGCCAGCAGCCGCGGUAAUACGGAGGAUGCAAGCGUUAUCCGGAAUCAUUGGGCGUAAAGCGUCCGCAGGUGGUUUCCAAAGUCUGCUGUUAAAGACUGGAGCUCAACUCCGGAACGGCGGUGGAAACUUGGAAACUAGAGUUCGGUAGAGGUAGCAGGAAUUCCCAGUGUAGCGGUGAAAUGCGUAGAUAUUGGGAAGAACAUCGGUGGCGAAGGCGUGCUACUGGACCGCAACUGACACUCAGGGACGAAAGCUAGGGUAGCGAAAGGGAUUAGAUACCCCUGUAGUCCUAGCCGUAAACGAUG